This is a long non-coding RNA of Acyrthosiphon pisum (pea aphid), 1417 nucleotides long. RefSeq lists it as uncharacterized. The transcript is spliced from 3 exons. Lineage: Eukaryota; Metazoa; Arthropoda; Insecta; Hemiptera; Aphididae. The record is from RefSeq and is a predicted model, not a curated record.
AAAAAGCAGGUACUCAUUUUGACCAAUGUUUUUUCCUGGUCUCACUAUGAGUAAAUGCUGCGUAGUACAUUUCAGCCGUUACGACGAUCAACAAGAUAUAAAACAAUGUAUCGAGAUCUUUGAAAUAUAACCAUAUUAAUAACGAUAGGCCUGUAAGGAAUACAAAUAAUAAUAUUUGUUAAAAUAACUUUAAACAUUUUUUAUCGACAUAAAUUAAGAAAAAACUAAAAUAAUCAAAUAUAUCAUAUGCCUAUAUAAAUAUCUCAACACGAGUCGAAAUAUUUUAAAAAUUCCACGUAUUUACAAUCCUCAGCAGGUACAUACUAAAGUAAUUUUUUUUUUUAACAAAAAAAUGUCCUUUUAAAUCGUGGUCAUAGAGGCAGCGUUGCCCAUAGUUCGUACCUACUUCAGUAAAAUUUAAUGACCACCACAUCGGUCAGGAGUACCUCCAAUAGAUAACCAUUGUCACUUAUCACCAUGUACAACAAACUAAGAUAGUAGGUAAUAUUUGUUUUCAAAUAAAUAACAACAUAAUAUUAUUUUAUUGUUCGCUAAAUUGUAAUCGAAUGAUUCAAAACAAGGAUCAGUAAAUAAGUAGAUAUUAUGUCCAGAUGCUGUCUCAAACAUAAUCCAAAACACUUGUCUGGAAUAGAAAAGUAAAGUAAACAAUAUAAAAUAAAUAUUAAUAAUUUACAUUAACACUGUUAAUACUCUUAGCACAACUAGUAAAUCAUCUAAGAGGUAAAAUCAUUUAAUAUAAUUCAUGAAUUAGGGACAUAAAUAGUUUUAACAACUUGACAUUUUCAGAAAAUUAUAUUUCUCCACCGAUGAGUUAGAAGAAAAUGAAUAUACCAAUAAAGAAUUUGGACACCUUAUAAUUGAUGAUUUUAAUUCACCCAGAAAAGCCUUGGAAACUUAUUAAUGUCUAAUUCACAGACACUUAUUUCAUACAGUGGACCAUUCAUAUAAUGGUUAUCAAAACUGAAAUAUAUGAUGUAGUAUAUAAAAAGAACUAAGAAGUCAAGCCAAUGUAUUGACAAUUUUUCAGUGUUGACUUGAAGAAAAUUCUACCAGCUCAGAUGAAGCCAUACAAUAUUGGAGUGAAUUAUGUAACUCAAAAGUAUGGCACGUAAAAUAGCAAACUUUAAUUUUGAGAAAUGUUGGACAUUUGUACAAGGAACUGUAAACAAAAUCAUAAUAAUGGACAAUAUAGCAAGAGACACAUUGAAUAAAUGUUUUGAUAUUUUCAAUGAUUCACACAGUCAGAAACUUUAUAAUUCAACAAAGUUGUUACUAGAGGAACGGGUACUUCAACUAUUGAGUUGACCUAGAAGAAGGAAUCAAUGGCGUAAAUUGGGCUGAAUUGUUAGAUUUGCAAUAAGUUUAGUUUGGACAGACUUUUAGGGGCUUAGCCCCC